RNAcentral lists this long non-coding RNA (1333 nucleotides) under Monodelphis domestica (gray short-tailed opossum). Its description in RNAcentral is "lncRNA (ENSMODG00000048253.1)". Lineage: Eukaryota; Metazoa; Chordata; Mammalia; Didelphimorphia; Didelphidae. The record is from RNAcentral.
AUGGGGCGGCCUCCACAGCUCUCCCUCUCCAGAGGGUCCCACGGCGGCCAAGACCCGCUAAGCUUCCCUUUGUACUGCUUGGCAUUAGGGAAGAGUGUCCAGAGUGCCCUGAGGCGUCUGCCUUUCCCCAGCAGGAACCUUUCCAAGGUGUCUUGUGACCCGGGAGGCCCGUGUGCUUGCCCUUUGCCCACAAUGAAUCACUGGGCACGUGAGGCUAUCAACAGCCCUAUCAAAGAGGCCCGGUGGAAUCCGGCCUCCCACAAAAUGGCACAAAGCUGCAGCCGCCGGACGCCCAGGGGCUCUGCCGAGUCCUCCCCGACACUGGGAUACUAAGGAGACCCCGACAGACAGCAUCAGCUCAUAGGAAGAUGGCCCCAAUGCUGGAGACACUAGAGGGGCCACCUUCCCCAAGCCCUGCCUUUGAAGAUGGGGAAACUGAGGCCCAAGGAGACCAGGCGAUUUGUCCCAGAUCAUACACUAGAAAGGGUCAGAGCUAGGACCCCAAAUUGCCUCACUGCCCUUUAGAAGUCUGUAGGGUAAAAAAUGAAAAAAGAAGACGUGGACUCGAGGAGAAGCUUUAUCCAGUCUGGGAAUCGCUGGGCCCCUCCCAUGGAAAUCACUGGCAAUUCCAACCUGACAAAUGGUCGCGUGAAUGGUGAAGACAGUCAUCAGGGGUGGCUCUGGAAGCUUUCUGUCCUCCGGCACGAGCAGACCCUCGAGCUGGCUGGCCAGCCGCCCAGUUGGGCCGCACCGCUGGCUGCAAGGCCGGCCCUACCCGUUUCUCUCCCUGUUUUUCAGGGCUCCAGUCCAGUCGAAUGACCUCGACAAGGGCAGCAUUAAGGGCCUGAGAUCAUCUGUGCGUCCUCUGAGUCUGGCUUGGCCAGUGGAGGAACACUUGACUUCCUGUUUUGAAGUUAUUCAUUGAGUUCUCUUGGCGAGCCAGCGCACUCCCGCCCUGCCCUUUAACUGGCUCCUUUGUCCUCUUGCCAACAGCCACAUGCACUCACUUCCCCCGGAACCUUUCCCAGAGAUGCUGGGCUUUGUUUCGGAGACGCUUUCCCUCCCGAGGGCAAAAGGACAAGGCAGCCCCCAGACAGCCCCUUCCAGCCUGGCAGUAGGCGCUCUCGGACCAUCAUCCAGGAGUUAGCAGGAGGGGAUGUCCAGCUGCUAAGGGGCACCCCAGACACAGUACAACCAGCUGUGCCGUUUCUCCCCCACCUUUCCCACCAUUCCGUGCUCUCCCAGAGCUGCUUCAAAGCAAAGAAGGGAUGAGCUGCGCUUGCGGCUUGACAACUGAGUGUGCAGUCAGUGUACAUCAGGUGCACAUCCCUCC